This 494-nucleotide ribosomal RNA is filed under the name uncultured bacterium. RNAcentral describes it as "partial 16S ribosomal RNA". It matches the Rfam family "Bacterial small subunit ribosomal RNA", at positions 28 to 507 of the family's 1533-position model. The record is from RNAcentral.
GACGAACGCUGGCGGCGUGCUUAACACAUGCAAGUCGAACGGAAAGGCCUGCUUUCCCUUGUGGAUUGCGGGUACUCGAGUGGCGAACGGGUGAGUAACACGUGAGUGAUCUGCCCCCAACUUGGGUAUAAGCCUGGGAAACUGGGUCUAAUCCCCGAUAGGACUGCAGGGUGGUGCCUGUGGUGGAAAACGAUUUUCUAGUGGUUGGGGAUGAGCUCGCGGCCUAUCAGCUUGUUGGUGGGGUAAUGGCCUACCAAGGCGGCGACGGGUAGCCGGCCUGGGAGGGUGGACGGCCACAUUGGGACUGAGAUACGGCCCAGACUCCUACGGGAGGCAGCAGUGGGGAAUAUUGCACAAUGGGCGGAAGCCUGAUGCAGCGACGCCGCGUGGGGGAUGACGGCCUUCGGGUUGUAAACUCCUUUCGACCGCGAGGAAGCCACCUGGUUGGAAGGGUGGUGACGGUAGUGGUAGAAGAAGCACCGGCUAACUACGUG